RNAcentral lists this long non-coding RNA (6689 nucleotides) under Malus domestica (apple). RNAcentral describes it as "long non-coding RNA (MDOM_LNC009537)". The record is from RNAcentral. Lineage: Eukaryota; Viridiplantae; Streptophyta; Magnoliopsida; Rosales; Rosaceae.
GAGGACCCUCGUACAAAUUCUCAACACGGUACUUUUGAGCUGUUGACGGAGAUGGAAGGUGAAAAAUCAUCAUUUCCAAUAAAGCAGUGCUAGCUGGUAACCAGGUCUGCAUAACACGCUUCAUCAGAGCCUUCCCCAUCAGGUCCUUCUCAUCACUCUUCAUGGUGACACCAAGCUUUGUCAACAUGGGCCACAACUUAUCCUUCUGAUCAUUCAUGCAGGUGUUGAUGAUCUGCUUGAUGGGUUCGUAACAGAACUGAACAAAACCACGCUUGCAGGUAGCAGUGCCGGUGCUCUUGCUGGUCCAUUUCUUCGUAGCUGGGUCAAAAAAGUUCUCACCCCAGAGCCUUUCCAUCAUCUUUGACUCAUCAACUCCAAACUUGGAAGCAUACAUCUUAGCGAAGUUGGUCAGAGUGAAAGCCCAACCGUGCAAACCAGCUGAGAAGGCGACUGUUCCUUUCUCUGGGUACACUUGGACAUCACCAAGAAGUGGAUCUUCAUAUGUAGCCAUAAUGACAUUAGCAUUCUCAAUAACCCUUUGGAAUGUCUGGUAAGCUUCCUCUCCAUCAACCUGGAGCUCAAGGAAGCAUCUGUCCAUCUUGUUAACGGUCAAAACAGGCCUGAUCCUCUCUCCCAAUGCUUGACGGAGCACAGUCUCAGUCUGGACACACACACCCUCAAUACAAUCCACCACCACAAGUGCUCCAUCAGUAAUACGCAGAGCAGCUGUGACUUCAGAUGAAAAGUCAACGUGCCCGGGGGAAUCAAUGAGAUUGAUGAGGUACUCAUUUCCGUUCCUCUCUCCCUUGUACCUCUGCAAAGACUCAUCAGUCAUCUCAUAGUACAGAGAGAUACCGGUAGAUUUAAUUGUGAUACCACGCUCUGCCUCAUCUGCGCGAGUAUCAGUCAUCCGAACAUCACCAGCAACUUCUUGUGCAAUGAUACCCGCAGCAGCAACAAGCGAGUCUGUAAGAGUUGACUUCCCUGCAUAUCAAAUUUCAAAAACAUUAUAUGUUUUGAGGAAACACCAUAGGACAUAAACAAAUAAAUGGAUAAAACGCAACUAUACAUAUUAACUGGUGAAAUAUUUCAAAUUAUAACCAAUAGAGAAAAGUUCAAAAUACUGAAAAAAAAUACACUUGACCAAAAUAUUACAACAUUAAAAAUUUUCUUUAACCAGGUUAAUAAAAACACCUUGUAACAAAGACAAGAAUUAUCAAGUGAAAAUAAAAAAGAUCUAUACCGUGAUCAACAUGAGCAAUAACAGACAUAUUGCGAAUGUUGUGCUUGUAGUCCAUAAUCCUACGGAGUUCUUCUGCUGUAAACUUCACCUGCAAUAUCAAGAAUAUCACACCAUUGUGAAUUAAGGAAUCAAUGGAGCAGCUCAGGAAUCACUAUGUAACCAUGUUCAGAUUGAUAGUCAGUGUUUACCAUCUUGACUAGUCUUUAAGAACAACCGGCAAUUAGUUUUUAUAAGAAGCUGAUUAACCGACAAGGAAACACCUGCAAAUUUAAACAACAAAAAAAUGAACUGGAAUUCAACUUGGAAUAUAAACAUUUAAAAUGACUAGAAAAUGACACACCAAUACAUUUCUAUGUUUAAAAAAUGACCAGAAAAAAAAAAUAGCAAUUUGUAUUCCACCAAAAGACUAUUGAAUUCCGGUAAAAGGAAUACAUAAUUUUUACUGUAUCAAGCAAUCUUAAUAAUCAAGACAAGUUAUUCGGUAAACGGUCUUGACAAAAGAAAAGGUAAUCACAAAUCAUUCCUUAUCAAUUAGGAUGAUCCUAUUAAUUUAGGGCCACCAAUAACAACAAAAUAGAAAACAAGUACGCAUAAUAAUUCUCUCUUACAAAUUAGUAUAUUUUAGAACGAAAAUUAUUCUGGAAAAUAUUUUUAUAUUAUUUCUUUGACAUGAAUAGGAAACAAAAUGUUCUGAAAAAAUUACUCAUAAAUUCAAACGAAACCUUAAUUUUCGAAAAUCUUUCCACUAAAAAAAUUGCUCAACGAAACUAUUUUCCAGCAAAACAACAGAGUAUUAGUACGAUCAAAGUAGAAAACAAGAUCUAGCAAAUACAAAACAUCUAGGGUAGUGCUAACCACACACCCACUUUACUUUUCACACACACUCAACUUUCUGCUGUAGGAUAAAAUGAAUUGAAGAAGAUCAAUGGCUAAAAACUAAAAAUGGAUGUGUGAACAAUUUACAAAUACUAGCGAAAUUAUCAUAUAUCACGUAAAAAUUAUCAAAAACGUCAGAAAAUUAUUCCACAGCAAAAAAAAUUUCACGUAAAAAUUUUCCGAUGAACCAACCAGAGCCUGAGAGAGUGAUCUGUACGGAAAACAAGGAUCUAAUACAAACACAUUUCACACAAACAUAUAUACACACACAAUGCAUCCGUAAAACCUGAGCAACGAUCGAAACGAUAAACGAGCAAAGACAUAAUACCAAACCAAAAGCAUGCAUAACAAUAAUAUAUUUCCAACAAUACAAAAUGCAUGCAGAUCACAGAUUUUUCAGAACAACAAAAUGCAUGAUUAACGACGAUAAUCAAGAAAUCACGAGGAUAAUCGGGGGGAUUAAAUCAAAGGAAGCGACUGAUUCGAAUAGCAUAGAAUUAGAGGAACGAACCUGAAGGAUCGGGAGAUGGAGAGCGAGGGAGGGAUGGAGAGAGGAGUGACUCUCCGCAGCCUAGAGCUAGUGGUGCAAAUGGGACUGAGAGAAUGUGUGGAGCCCGGAGGAGGGUGUGAGUGUUAUAUAAGGUUAGGGUUUUCGUUUCUUGGGUUGGGCUCCGCUUUCAUAGUUUAUACUAUUUUCUAGGCCCACCAAAAUCUCCAUCGGCCUUUUUUUAUUCUAAAAUCAUGGGCCUUAGGGCUUUUUAUUUAUUUUUUAUUUUUAACAACAUUAUAUAAUUAUGGAUAAUGAUGGGAAGAUCAAAUUUGAAAAUCAAAUAAAUAGAAAAUUAGCACGUUAAUUAAUAUUUCAAUAAUAAUUCAAUUACAUUUCAUAAUCAUAAAAGUCGACUAAGUGCAAAAAGACGGCCACACAUGACCUUUGCCAAUCGACCUAUUCCACAGUUGUAUGACCUAGGUUAAGAAGGUCAAAGCUUCUUGUUAGACACUCAAAACUCAAAACUUCAAAUUCUUGUUUAUUAAUUAAACAAAAAAUAUUGAGAAAAGUUAUUAGCAUUUUAGUAUGGCAUGUUUUUCUUUGAUUGUAAGUGAGAGAAAAGUGAGAAGUGGAAAUGAAUACAACUACACUGUCGUGCUAAGCAGCCUCCAAUAUUCGUAAGGUAGGCAUAAACUUCUUCGUCUAAUAAACGUUUUCUAAAUAUGAGCCUAGGGUUUAUUUACAAGAUAUACAUAUAUUCUAACCAAUUCACUUAACCCAACCCACACUUGCAAAGAUAGCCUAGAUUUAAAAAGCCUUAGCUCCCCCAAACACUUCUACUUUGGACACCAAACCCCAACUCUCUUUUUUUCAUUUUUGUAGCCAAAACUAUAGUAUCUACAUGUAACAACAUUGAUAUCAAGUCGAUGAAUUGUAUAGCAUGAAUUUUAAAGGGUGUUUGUUUGCCCUCACUAAGCUUCACUAGAUUGGAUUGGCUUAGCUGGAAUUUCUAAUUCGUGUUUGGUUGGAACAAGGAUUAAGUAUAAUGGGACUAAGUCGGAUUCGUGCCAACUAAGUCCUUCACUCCCAGUUCUUAGCUAGGUUGCCCGAAACAUAUGGGAUUGCUAAUCCCGUCUCUAAAGCUGUGUACAAAGUCUGCACGCUGCAUCAUCUACACGCUGCAAGUCAUCUGCAAUCAUGCUUCUUUGCAACUCUGUUUGGCCACCUAUGCCCAGAUCUGAAACCCACCACACCCACUGCCUAAUUCUCAACAUCCAACUACCAAAAUUCGAAAAGAAAAAAAGUCAAUUCGAUAACAACAACAAACUCAAUAGAAAAAUUCUUCAUUUUUCCUAGAAAAUUAAGAGAAUUUUUGAGACAAUCAAAGGAGUGGCGAGAAAUAGAGUGGUCGUGAAAUCCAUGACGCAGCAGAGGGGUGCCUCUGCACGAUUUCAAUUCUCCGUGGGAUAUGAAGUUGGGAAACCAGAAUCUGUGGUGCCAGAAAUAGUUUAGAGGAAUCACAACAGCAAAGAAAAGGAAAGGGAAAAAAAGAGAACAAAACGGGGGUGAUGAAUGACGUUGAGUGAGGAGAGAGUGGAAAGGAAAAGAAAAAGACGAAGAGAGUGGAAAGGAAAAAUAAGAAAAAAAUGUGGAAAGAAAAAAAUGUGAAGAAAAAAAUGACGAAAUUAUUUGAUUUUCCAAAAUAAUGUAGUCCGUAACUUAGUCCGAUAUUGCAUCAACCGCUCCAUUAUUCUUAUCCUACUUAGUCCAUGCCUAGCCAAUCUAACUUAAUCUUUAAAGCUAAUCUAGUCCGAAAUAAUCCAAUACAACAAACGCACCCAAUCCCAUAUUGAUGCAGGCCAACCAAAUUCAUAAACUAGCACAAUUAAGAAUACAAAGCCGCUGGUUCCACAACUUACAAAACCUGAAUCAAACACGAGCUAGAGCGGUUUUCGGCACCUGUGCAGCCACUCGUAUUGGCGGCGCGCGAGCCGAGCAUUGCAACCACCACCUUCGAGGCGUUUUCCCAUCUCUAAUGAAAUAGUAGCAGAAGAAGCUGUUGCAGGUCUUCAAGUUAGAAAGAACAAACAUCAAUCAAAUACAUGAAACAAAGUAGACAAAAGUAUAGUAAAUUCAAAAAGCGUGUAGCAACAAUGGCAGAAAUUGUUCCACAAGCAACAAGGUAAAAGCAGAACAUUAUAAAGGUCUCUGUUCUGAGCACGCACAAAACAUUUAACUACUGGCACCCAGAUGCUGACUACAGCAACAAUGUUAACAACAUUAAACAAAAACGAUUAAACUGGAAACCAAAAAAUUAACGCAGUGCAUCGAAAACAAAUUAUUACUCAAAGCUUGUCCUCAAACUCGGAUAGUGGGGUCAUCUGCUCCUUCAAUCCCUUCCUCUUACGGAUGUCGGUAACAAGUGCUGCAGCCUGGGAUCCAGCUUCCAAUGGAUCAGACGACAUCAUCUCCCAAUGAUCAAACACACAUUGUGGGAAAGCCUGUCCAGAAGUUGCAGCCCUCAGUUGACCAGAGAAUCCAAAGGACUCGACAACGGGGAGGUAUGCCUUGAUGUUGUAAAGUGGAGUUCCCGGCCUCUGCAUCUCCUCAAACACGUGUCCACGUUUCUGAUUCAGAACACUGUAUAUACCUCCAAGAGCCCCCUCUGGAGCUUGAAUUUCAACAAGAUACACUGGUUCGAGAAGCCUUGGCUUGGCUGUGAGCUGAGAGGCAUAGAUGACCCUCCGAGCAGUUGGAAUGACCUGACCUCCCCCUCUGUGGAUGGCAUCAGCGUGAAGAACCACAUCACAAACUUCAAAGCAAAUACCUCUCAUGUUUUCUUCUGCCAAUGCACCUUCCUUUGAGGCCCACUGGAACCCAGCAACAACUGAAUCCUUGAUUUCAUUAAGGUACUGGACUCCCUUACACAUGUCGACCACCAUGUUAGGACCAGUGGUCUCGGGACCAAAACACCAGAUUUUCUUAGCAAGAUCCUUGUCCCAACCAAACUCCUCAGCCAAGAUCUUGGAACGAAUCUUGGGAUCAUCUCUUGGGCCAAUGCGACCUUCAUCAAUAGCCUCAGGAAGCCCUUCCUCAAGGGGCCUUGCUUCCAUGUACAGACGGUUAUGCUUGUUUGGAGACUUGCUCAUCACUGUACGGCAGGACUUAUCAAGGACAGUCUCACGGAAGGACACAACAGGGUCAGACUUUAUAAUCUCAGCACCACCCAUAAAAUCAUCUUGCAGAUCCUUCAAACAGAUCUCAAGAUGCAGUUCACCAGCACCAGCAAUAAUGUGCUCUCCCGACUCCUCAAUGGAGCAGACAACCAUAGGAUCAGACUUGGCCAAACGCUUGAGACCUUCAACAAGUUUGGGAAGGUCAGAUGCAACCUUGCACUGGACAGCAACACGCACGACGGGUGAAACUGAGAACUUCAUAGCACGAAUAGGGUGAGCAUCCACUUCCUUCUCAUUUGUUAAAGUAGCAUUCUUGGUGAUAAACUGAUCCAAACCGACCAAGGCAACAGUGUUACCGCAAGGAACAUCCUCAACAGUUUCUUGUCUCUUUCCCAUCCAAAUAACAGUCCUCUGUACAUUCUUGACAUACAAAUCCUUCUUCUCUCCAGGAACAAAAUUUGGACCCAUGAUUCUAACCUUCAAACCUGUCUGAACUUUACCAGCAAAGACACGGCCAAAGGCAAAGAAUCUACCCUUAUCAGAAGCGGGAAUCAUCUUAGACACAUAGAGCAUAAGAGGUCCUUCGGGGUCACAGUUCCUGAUGGCAUUAGCAUAUUGAUCAUCAAGGGGACCCUCAUACAAAUUCUCAACACGGUACCUUUGAGCCGUGGAAGGAGAUGGAAGGUGAAAGAUCAUCAUUUCCAAUAGAGCAGUGCUAGCUGGUAGCCAGGUCUGCAUAACACGCUUCAUCAAUGCCUUCCCCAUCAGGUCCUUCUCAUCACUCUUCAUGGUGACACCAAGCUUUGUCAACAUGGGCCACAACUUAUCCUUCUGAUCAUUCAUGCACGUGUUGAUGAUCUGCUUGAUGGGCUCAUAACAGAACUGAACGAAACCACGCUUGCAG